AUUUACCUAAGCCCAAAUCAUGCUUCAUGCAUCAGACUUUGUCUAAUCUUGGAAGCUAAGCAGACUGAGCCUGGUUACUACUUGGAUGGGAGACUGCCAUGGAAUACCAAGUUUUGUAAAUU
RNAcentral lists this ribosomal RNA (122 nucleotides) under Petromyzon marinus (sea lamprey). The record is from RNAcentral. Lineage: Eukaryota; Metazoa; Chordata; Hyperoartia; Petromyzontiformes; Petromyzontidae.